RNAcentral lists this ribosomal RNA (167 nucleotides) under Rhizophagus irregularis. Lineage: Eukaryota; Fungi; Glomeromycota; Glomeromycetes; Glomerales; Glomeraceae. The record is from RNAcentral.
CAGUCGCGUUCUCUGGGAUUCAGCCUUGCUUCUUGCUUGGUGCAUUUCCUAGUCUACGGGCCAACAUCAAUUUUGGUGGUCAUAAAAUGGACUGGAGGAAUGUAGCUUCGAUCUUGUAUUGAAGUGUUAUAGCCUUCGGUAGAUGUGAUGAUCGGGAUUGAGGAUUG